Molecule: non-coding RNA, 486 nt
Organism: Cinara cedri
Lineage: Eukaryota; Metazoa; Arthropoda; Insecta; Hemiptera; Aphididae
Source: the annotation of a GenBank genome assembly
CAGUAUAAAACUAGUUUUUAAAUAAGAUUAUCAAUUAUCACAUAUUAUACUACGUCAAGUCAAUCGUCGUGCUAUAUUUUUAUUAUCAUUUGUCAGUUUUGUGGUGUUAGUAUAUUAUAAUAAUAAACUCUGCGAUGAAAGAAUAAAAACUUACUGCCAAUUUUACAGCUUUAGAAACGGAUGUAUUAAUAUCAUUAGUGAAAAAAUAUAAAGACACCGGGGAAUGUCUGAAGACAGAUACAGUAAAUGAUGAGUAUAGUAAAAUAACACUCGAGUUCAAAACGGUCAAAACAAUUUUGUUACUAAGUCACGGCAUUGGAAAUUUACAACAAUGAUAAUAACACGAGAUGAUAACUCAAAAAUUAACUUAUCAUUGUAUAACCAACCUCGGGCGGUCGGUUAACUUAACGGACCUAAAAUCAACGAUUAAUAAGUGAACGGGCAACAUACAACAUAACAAAGGUCUUAAUAAUUGAUUAUAGUCCG